GGUGAACCUGCGGAAGGAUCAUUAACACGUAUCCUAACGUUACCACCCGUGCACAUUCAAACCCUACCACCCUUUUGGGACCCGGGUUGUUCGCCAACUUCUUCCCGCGCACAUCAGUACUUUGUGGGAAGCCCUCGCAAUAGGUGUAGCACAGUUUCGCGGCGUCGAUUAGCAUGACUGAAAGGCGCACGGGGGACUGCUCCUGUCAAUUGCGACCCUGAUACUCUGCAACCUUUGUGGCGAGGUUGUUUGCAAACCCUUAUGGCGUGAACUACUACUCAGGCUGACCCAGGACCUCCCAACCUCAAAUGGUGUCGGGUUCCCCCCGCUCGGGGCCCUGAGAAGCUCCAGAGUCGGAAACCCCGGACAACUGUUCAAUGGAUAUCUUGGCUCUC
Molecule: unclassified non-coding RNA, 395 nt
Filed under: fungal sp.
Lineage: Eukaryota; Fungi
Description: partial internal transcribed spacer region
Source: RNAcentral